AAAGCCUCCAACAAAGCUCUACUGAGUGGCUGUAACCUGUCAGAGAGAAGCUGUGAAGCUCUGUUCUCAGUUCUCAGCUCCCAUUCCUCUAUUCUGAGAGAG
Molecule: long non-coding RNA, 102 nt
Organism: Etheostoma spectabile (orangethroat darter)
Lineage: Eukaryota; Metazoa; Chordata; Actinopteri; Perciformes; Percidae
Exons: 3
Source: RefSeq, a predicted model, not a curated record